CCUACGGGAGGCAGCAGUGGGGAAUAUUGGGCAAUGGGCGCAAGCCUGACCCAGCAACGCCGCGUGAAGGAAGAAGGCUUUCGGGUUGUAAACUUCUUUUGACAGGGAAGAGUAGAAGACGGUACCUGUCACAUAAGCCACGGCUAACUACGUGCCAGCAGCCGCGGUAAUACGUAGGUUGCAAGCGUUGUCCGGAUUUACUGGGUGUAAAGGGCGUGUAGCCGGGUUGACAAGUCAGAUGUGAAAUCCUGCGGCUUAACCGCAGAACUGCAUUUGAAACUGUUGAUCUUGAGUACUGGAGAGGCAGACGGAAUUCCUAGUGUAGCGGUGAAAUGCGUAGAUAUUAGGAGGAACACCAGUGGCGAAGGCGGUCUACUGGACAGAAACUGACGGUGAGGCGCGAAAGCGUGGGGAGCAAACAGGAUUAGAUACCCGGGUAGUC
This 442-nucleotide ribosomal RNA is filed under the name uncultured bacterium. Its description in RNAcentral is "partial 16S ribosomal RNA". It matches the Rfam family "Bacterial small subunit ribosomal RNA", at positions 338 to 795 of the family's 1533-position model. The record is from RNAcentral.